GAUGAACGCUGGCGGCGUGCCUAAUACAUGCAAGUCGAGCGAACAGACGAGGAGCUUGCUCCUCUGACGUUAGCGGCGGACGGGUGAGUAACACGUGGAUAACCUACCUAUACGACUGGGAUAACUUCGGGAAACCGGAGCUAAUACCGGAUAAUAUAUUGAACCGCAUGGUUCAAUAGUGAAAGACGGUUUUGCUGUCACUUAUAGAUGGAUCCGCGCCGCAUUAGCUAGUUGGUAAGGUAACGGCUUACCAAGGCAACGAUGCGUAGCCGACCUGAGAGGGUGAUCGGCCACACUGGAACUGAGACACGGUCCAGACUCCUACGGGAGGCAGCAGUAGGGAAUCUUCCGCAAUGGGCGAAAGCCUAACGGAGCAACGCCGCGUGAGUGAUGAAGGUCUUCGGAUCGUAAAACUCUGUUAUUAGGGAAGAACAAAUGUGUAAGUAACUAUGCACGUCUUGACGGUACCUAAUCAGAAAGCCACGGCUAACUACGUG
RNAcentral lists this ribosomal RNA (497 nucleotides) under uncultured bacterium. RNAcentral's name for it is "partial 16S ribosomal RNA". It matches the Rfam family "Bacterial small subunit ribosomal RNA", at positions 28 to 507 of the family's 1533-position model. The record is from RNAcentral.